Molecule: ribosomal RNA, 857 nt
Filed under: uncultured bacterium
Lineage: Bacteria
Description: SSU rRNA
Rfam family: Bacterial small subunit ribosomal RNA
Source: RNAcentral
UACGGAGGGUGCAAGCGUUACUCGGAAUCACUGGGCGUAAAGCGCGCGCAGGCGGCCUUUUAAGUUGGAUGUGAAAGCCUACGGCUCAACCGUAGAACUGCAUCCAAAACUACUAGGCUAGAGUCUGGGAGGGGAAGAUGGAAUUAGUUGUGUAGGGGUAAAAUCCGUAGAGAUAACUAGGAAUACCAAAAGCGAAGGCAAUCUUCUGGAACAGUACUGACGCUGAGGCGCGAAAGCGUGGGGAGCAAACAGGAUUAGAUACCCUGGUAGUCCACGCCCUAAACGAUGAAUGUUAGUCGUCGGGUAGCUAGUCUAUUCGGUGAUGCAGUUAACACAUUAAACAUUCCGCCUGGGGAGUACGGUCGCAAGAUUAAAACUCAAAGGAAUAGACGGGGACCCGCACAAGUGGUGGAGCAUGUGGUUUAAUUCGAAGAUACGCGAAGAACCUUACCUAGCCUUGACAUAUUUUAGAACACUUUAGAGAUAGAGUGGUGCCUUCGGGAGCUAAUAUACAGGUGCUGCACGGCUGUCGUCAGCUCGUGUCGUGAGAUGUUGGGUUAAGUCCCGCAACGAGCGCAACCCUCGUCACUAGUUACUAACGGUUCGGCCGAGGACUCUAGUGAGACUGCCUUCGCAAGGAGGAGGAAGGUGAGGACGACGUCAAGUCAUCAUGGCCCUUACGGCUAGGGCAACACACGUGCUACAAUGGCCAGGACAAUGAGAAGCAAUACCGCGAGGUGGAGCAAAUCUAUAAACCUGGUCUCAGUUCGGAUUGUUCUCUGCAACUCGAGAGCAUGAAGCUGGAAUCACUAGUAAUCGUAGAUCAGCUAUGCUACGGUGAAUACGUUCCCGGGUCU